GAUGAACGCUAGCGGCAGGCUUAACACAUGCAAGUCGAGGGGUAACAGGGGAGCUUGCUCCCGCUGACGACCGGCGGACGGGUGCGUAACGCGUAUGCAACCUACCCAUAACAGGGGGAUAGCCCAGAGAAAUUUGGAUUAAUACCUCAUAAUACUAUUUAGUUGCAUGAUUGAAUAGUUAAAGAUUUAUCGGUUAUGGAUGGGCAUGCGUGCCAUUAGUUAGUUGGUAAGGUAACGGCUUACCAAGGCAACGAUGGCUACGGGGUCUGAAAGGAUGGUCCCGCACACUGGGUACUGAGACACGGACCAGACUCCCUACGGGAGCAGCAGUGAGGAAUAUUGGUCAAGGGUAGAGCCUGAACCAGCCAUGCCGCGUGCAGGAAGACUGCCUAUGGUUGUAAACUGCUUUUUAUAUAGGAAUAAAAAUACGUGUAGGUU
RNAcentral lists this ribosomal RNA (438 nucleotides) under uncultured bacterium. Its description in RNAcentral is "bacterial SSU rRNA". It matches the Rfam family "Bacterial small subunit ribosomal RNA", at positions 28 to 464 of the family's 1533-position model. The record is from RNAcentral.